CUGUCCCAGUUCGGACUGGAGUCUGCAACCCGACUCCACGAAGUUGGAUUCGCUAGUAAUCGCGCAUCAGCCAUGGCGCGGUGAAUACGUUCCCGGGCCUUGUACACACCGCCCGUCAAGCCAUGGGAGCCGGGGGCGCCUGAAGUCCGGGACCGCGAGGACCGGCCUAGGGCGAAACCGGUAACUGGGGCUAAGUCGUAACAAGGUAAC
RNAcentral lists this ribosomal RNA (210 nucleotides) under uncultured bacterium. RNAcentral describes it as "partial 16S ribosomal RNA". It matches the Rfam family "Bacterial small subunit ribosomal RNA", at positions 1283 to 1500 of the family's 1533-position model. The record is from RNAcentral.